RNAcentral lists this ribosomal RNA (726 nucleotides) under uncultured Thermaceae bacterium. RNAcentral's name for it is "bacterial SSU rRNA". It matches the Rfam family "Bacterial small subunit ribosomal RNA", at positions 598 to 1328 of the family's 1533-position model. Lineage: Bacteria; Thermotogati; Deinococcota; Deinococci; Thermales; Thermaceae. The record is from RNAcentral.
AAGACUGGGGCUCAACCCCAGGGGUGCGUUGGAUACUGUGAGGCUAGACGGUCGGAGGGGGUAGCGGAAUUUCCGGAGUAGCGGUGAAAUGCGCAGAUACCGGAAGGAACGCCAAUAGCGAAGGCAGCUACCUGGACGACUUGUGACGCUGAGGCGCGAAAGCGUGGGGAGCAAACCGGAUUAGAUACCCGGGUAGUCCACGCCCUAAACCAUGAGUGCUGGGUGUCCGGCUUCUGCUGGGUGCCGUAGCUAACGCGCUAAGCACUCCGCCUGGGAAGUACGCACGCAAGUGUGAAACUCAAAGGAAUUGACGGGGGCCCGCACAAGCGGUGGAGCAUGUGGUUUAAUUCGAAGCGACGCGAAGAACCUUACCAGGCCUUGACAUGCCCGGAACCCCUCUGAAAGGAGGGGGUGCCCGCAAGGGAGCCGGGACACAGGUGCUGCAUGGCCGUCGUCAGCUCGUGUCGUGAGAUGUUGGGUUAAGUCCCGCAACGAGGGCAACCCCUAUCCCUAGUUGCCAGCAGUUCGGCUGGGCACUCUAUGGAGACUGCCUGCGAAAGCAGGAGGAAGGCGGGGAUGACGUCUGGUCCGCAUGGCCCUUACGGCCUGGGCGACACACGUGCUACAAUGCCAAGGACAGAGCGCUGCUACCUCGCGAGAGGACGCCAAUCGCAAAAACCUUGGCUCAGUUCGGAUUGGAGUCUGCAACUCGACUCCAUGAAGCCG